This is a long non-coding RNA of Panthera uncia (snow leopard), 2261 nucleotides long. RefSeq lists it as uncharacterized. The record is from RefSeq and is a predicted model, not a curated record. Lineage: Eukaryota; Metazoa; Chordata; Mammalia; Carnivora; Felidae. The transcript is spliced from 4 exons.
GAGGAGGACGCUUGCUGGGAUGAGCACUGGGUGUUGUAUGUAAGCGAUGAAUCACGGGAAUCUACCCCCAAAACCAAGAGCACACUGUAUACACUCUAUGUCAGCCAACUUGACAAUAAAUUACAUUUUUUUAAUUAAUUUUUGACCCUAAUAAUACUAGCAAGCAGUUUUUAUUUUCUUAUCUGGAGAUAACGUGUAUUUCUCACUCAUAGUGGUAUGUCAGUUAUCUAAGUCACGUAUCAUAUUUUUCUAACUGCAUUAUUAACCGUGGAAUGUUUGCAGGUAUCCCUUCAAGAGAGGAAAGUGUGUCUGACUAGGGUUUAACUUCAGAGUUCUGGAAGUGUCCAGAACAUGCCAAGAGAUCACAAUGAGCCUAUCUAUAGCAGUUAAUGGGGGGGACAUCACUGGUAUUAAGGUAAGUGCUGCUCUGGCCCUAACCCAUGACACAGACCGUCUGAUCUUCGUGUAUUUAGGUAAGUGAUGACAUGUGCUGCCACUUUUUAUUACCAUGAUUUUGUUGCAGGUAUUCAGGUAAGAAGGAAGAAUCUUGCCAAUUCUAGAGACUGUAAAUUAAGAGAUAGUCGUGUCUCUACUGGUGAGAUCAGCCUACCUAAGGUUACUGGUAGACUUAAUGAGUCCCGCAGUGAUACAAGGGACAAGGUUCUUACCAGGGUCCAGGUAAUAAAAGUGUUGUCAUAUCACAUCUGUUCAAGUGUGUUUUUCAGGUCACUGUUAAGAUACGACGGUAAGCUAAGCUUCAUAAAGAUGAUGAAAGGGAUUUUGUUUGUAUCCGGGUAAGUGAUGAUGAUAGCCUUUUCCAUGCAAUAGACCAUCUAAUAUUCAAUAUCUAUGUAAGUACGGAUGGUGCUCCUAGCUUUGUGUUGCUGGGUUUUUUUUGUGUUUUUUGCAAGUAUUCGGCUAAGAAAUGAUAUUGUUAGUCAAUGCUAGUAAGCAUUAGCCCUUUCUUUAAAAUUUUUUAAAUUUAUUUGUUUUGAGAGAGAGCGCGAGCAUGAGCGCAGGAAGGGCGGAAAGCGGGAGAGAGAAAGAAUCCCAAGCAGGAUCUGCAGUGUCAGCACGGAGCCCGAUGCAGGACUCGAACUCACGAAGCAUGAGAUCAUGACCUGAGCCGAAAUCAAGAGUAGGACGUUUAACUGAGCCCCCCAGGUGCCCCAGCCCUUAUUAUUUUAAAGCUUAGAUACAACAUUUGUAAAACCUCAGUAGUGACAGAGAUAACACAAGUGUCCAGGUAAGUUACUGACCAUCUCCUGUUUAUUGACCAUGGAUUCUUACACUAGUCUUGUAGAGACAGUAUUGUGUCUCUAACUGGAGGCUGACCUUGAACUCUGCAAGUUUCUAGGUAGAUUUGAUAGGCCUCAUAAAUUCGAUGGGAUUUUGCAGGUGUUCAGGUAAUACAUGUAUUCCUAACACAGUUUUUGCCAUGAAUUUUUGUAGAACCCAAUCAAGAGAUAAUGGAAGGCCUUACAUCCUCUCUUGAUCAGAUACCAGAAAAAUCCCAAAUUACCUACUGUGGUCACAAAGAGCACUGGGUGAUGUAUGGAAUUGUUGAAUCACUGUAUUGUAUGCCUGAAAUUAAUAUUAUACUGCAUGUUAACUUUACUGGAAUUAAAAUUUAAAAAAUACAUAUAUAAGGGGAUUCAAACACAAUCCCAGUGAAAAAAUGACCUAUUCAAGUCAUGGACAAGAUUUUCCAUUUUCAAUAGCUGCCUAUGAAAAAAAUCUUGCUCUAAUUCCUAAAAUGAGAAAAAGCAAAAAAUAAAAUCGAAUGAAUGAAUGAAUGAAUGAAUUAGUAAAUAAAUCAAUACAUAUUGUUGUCAGUUGAACCAUCAUCUCUUGAUUUGUAUUUUUACAGACACCCGCUCAAGAGGAGAUCAUGUCUCUAUUCCAGGGUCUUGUCCCUGGAGUUUUUCAGGUGUCCAGGUAAUGUGUCCCUAAUCCAGAUAACGAUCAUGGGAUUUUGCAGUUAUCCAAGCAAGAGACGACAUGCCCCUGCCAUGAUCUUGAUUCCCCUGCACGUGUCUAGGUAUCCACACUUUUAAGGUAUUCUGGGAAGAGAUGAUGAUGGUCCUAACCACACUAAUGACGGCAGAAAUUUGCACAUAUCCACUCAAGAGACGAUGGCAUCUCCGUCAACAUUGGUGGCUGUGGAGAUGGAAGAAAUGGAAUGCUUUUUUUUUUUUUUUUUGCAACUAUAUAAUUUGUUAAAAGAAUUUUGACAUUCAAUGACUAGUAAAUGUUAUUCA